CAAAGAAAGGAGGAUACCGGCGCCGUUGAGGCUUAAUAGGGAAUCCCGUGAAAAACGGGAGCGGUCCCGCCGCUGUAACCCCGCCCCUUGCGGUUAAUGCAAGGAGGACCCUUUCGGCACUAUCGCGCCACUGUUUCGAUGGAAUCGGGACGGGAAGGCCGCCGGAAGGGAGGGGGAGCCAGAAGACCUGCCGGUAUCUUAAGGAUCGU
This 209-nucleotide non-coding RNA is filed under the name Deltaproteobacteria bacterium. RNAcentral also lists the same sequence under 1 other name. The record is from RNAcentral. Lineage: Bacteria; Pseudomonadati; Myxococcota; Myxococcia.